This 253-nucleotide ribosomal RNA is filed under the name uncultured bacterium. RNAcentral's name for it is "partial 16S ribosomal RNA". It matches the Rfam family "Bacterial small subunit ribosomal RNA", at positions 524 to 776 of the family's 1533-position model. The record is from RNAcentral.
UACGGAGGGGGCUAGCGUUGUUCGGAAUUACUGGGCGUAAAGCGCACGUAGGCGGAUUGGGAAGUUGGGGGUGAAAUCCCGGGGCUCAACCCCGGAACUGCCUCCAAAACUCCCAGUCUGGAGUCCGAGAGAGGUGAGUGGAAUUCCGAGUGUAGAGGUGAAAUUCGUAGAUAUUCGGAGGAACACCAGUGGCGAAGGCGGCUCACUGGCUCGGUACUGACGCUGAGGUGCGAAAGCGUGGGGAGCAAACAGG